GCCCAGAUGGCGGAAUUGGUAUACGCGCACGACUCAAAAUCGUGUCUCUUCGGGGAUGUGGGUUCGACUCCCACUCUGGGCACAA
Molecule: transfer RNA, 85 nt
Filed under: Candidatus Kaiserbacteria bacterium CG10_big_fil_rev_8_21_14_0_10_45_20
Lineage: Bacteria; Candidatus Kaiseribacteriota
Description: tRNA-Leu
Rfam family: tRNA
About the family: Transfer RNA (tRNA) molecules are approximately 80 nucleotides in length.
Source: RNAcentral